GGUGGCAGAGUUAUCGGGAUAACAUUAAGUCGGUAGAAGAGAUCUUCGCGGAAUUUACCUUCGGCAAUGAACUGGGCCAAAUUCUGAUUAGUUGCAGAAAUGAUGCGAAUGUCGACUUGUAUUGGGCUACUGGCACCAAUCGGCAGAAUUUCACGCGCCUCAAUAGCGCGCAGUAAUUUAGCCUGCAACAUUAAUG
This 196-nucleotide unclassified non-coding RNA is filed under the name uncultured fungus. Its description in RNAcentral is "sequence contains ITS1". The record is from RNAcentral. Lineage: Eukaryota; Fungi.